ACACCAUUCUCAGCAUUUUGGCUAAGAUCAAUUGUAGUAUCUGUUCUUAUCGGUGUGUAUGUGUCUAUAGGACAUCAUCAGAUGGAUGGAUGAGGUCCCAUGGGGCGAUUCACCGCCCUCCAUGGCAAAUCGGAGGGGGGGUGGGGCAAUCU
Anolis carolinensis (green anole) is the source of this 152-nucleotide small nuclear RNA. Its record names the gene U2. It matches the Rfam family "U2 spliceosomal RNA". From Rfam's summary of the family: U2 is a small nuclear RNA (snRNA) component of the spliceosome (involved in pre-mRNA splicing). Complementary binding between U2 snRNA (in an area lying towards the 5' end but 3' to hairpin I) and the branchpoint sequence (BPS) of the intron results the bulging out of an unpaired adenosine, on the BPS, which initiates a nucleophilic attack at the intronic 5' splice site, thus starting the first of two transesterification reactions that mediate splicing. Lineage: Eukaryota; Metazoa; Chordata; Lepidosauria; Squamata; Anolidae. The record is from Ensembl.